GCCUGCCCCUGCAGCCUGCUGGGUGGAUGUUCCUGCUGGGUGGAUAUUGCCAGCACCAGGCUGGAAAGAGUUCCUUCGCCUUAGAUUGAGAAGGAAAGAGGCGGGUGUUUGUGGAUACAUUUGUGACUUGUCAUUAGCCCUGAUGCUUUAGAGGACACAGUGGUGGAGUGGAGGAUAGAAGCUCUGGGAACACUCAAGAACCAGCCUGAAAGUGCUGCCACUUAGACAUAUAGCUUCCCAAGCCACGGUUCUAAAGAGCUCUGCGAUUGGGGGUGGGGUGGGGUGGGGAUUUCAGGGUUGUGGAAAUCUGUUCAGUGGGAGCUUCGCUCAAAGCGGAAUGAACUGAGCUUCAUACACGGAAACUUCCUCGAGAGGCUAACCCAAAGUCUGCACCAUUGCAUCUGCUUUAGUGGGUGAUUACAGGGCUUGGCAGCAGGGCAGUGACUACUAUUACAAACCUGGCAUUUGAUCAUGUACACACAUCCUCAGAGAGCAGACGGUGGACACAGCGCCACAGUCCACUGCAUAAAUGAGCAUAAGCAUUCAAGUUCACACAAAACUACUUCAACUCGGGUGGACACAAAAUGACAGCCAGCUAUUAUUCACACUGUACACAUAGGCAGCAAGUGAAUAUUGACACCAUUUCUGAAAAAAAAAAAAACAACCUUUAAUACAGUUUCCUUUGUCUUUCCAGUCUCUCAUAGUAUCAGAAAGGUCAGUCUCCCGAGGAGCCAUUUGAUAAAGCAGACACGCUGCAUUUUCCUUUAUUAAACUAUAGGGUGUUUUGUUCUGUCACUUAAAUGUAACUGUUGUGACCAUCUUCCGGUUAGAUCCUUUGUUCUUCAAUAACCGACUCUUAGACCGUACUUCUCGUCAUCCUUCCGCGGAACAUGGAUGACUAUUCAAGUUGGUCAUGAUCUUCUUAAAGUGGUCCUGUCUGUCUGUCCAGACUAACAUCUUUCCACAGUAAAAGACUAAUUGCUGUUGGUAGCAGCUACCUCCGGCAUGCCAACUGUGCCCAUGACGUCACAGUCCCCUUGUUGAUUCUUGGGGUUACCUUAUGAUUCUGUAGGUUAUUUGAUACUUCUCUAUAUAAGCACAUCACUUACGAAUGAAGACAUUUUUAUUUCCUUUCGAUUUCUCUUAGGAACUCCCACAAGAUAGUUUAUAAGAAUGCUAAGAAUUGCGAUCUGACCUCCUCGACUUAAUGAAAGACGUUGGUUUUAAAUCAUCAAUAUGAUACCACCAAUGGAAUUUUUUAAAGUCAAAUUUUAAAGAGUGAAAUAUAUUUCUAUUUUAAAUGUA
This is a long non-coding RNA of Mastomys coucha (southern multimammate mouse), 1305 nucleotides long. RefSeq lists it as uncharacterized. The record is from RefSeq and is a predicted model, not a curated record. The transcript has 2 exons. Lineage: Eukaryota; Metazoa; Chordata; Mammalia; Rodentia; Muridae.